Cervus elaphus (red deer) is the source of this 689-nucleotide long non-coding RNA. RefSeq lists it as uncharacterized. Lineage: Eukaryota; Metazoa; Chordata; Mammalia; Artiodactyla; Cervidae. The transcript has 4 exons. The record is from RefSeq and is a predicted model, not a curated record.
UGUGUAGAGAAUGGACUGAAGGUGGUGACAGAGUGACAGACUGGAAACUUGGAGACCAACUGGGAGCUGCUGCAGGAAUGGAGAUGAGGGGAACCACACUCUGCUUGCCGGGGGAUCCAGUCGGGAAGGGAGAAAAGGCUGACCCGUGAGAGGCGAGAAUCAGAGGAGCGUCUCUGACCGCUCAGAGAUCACUCAGGAAGUCACAGAGAAGCAGAGAGACUGCCGAGGCAGUGAAGCUCUAUAGUGAAACCUACACAGGCGUCCUGAAGCUCUGAAGACCACUGAGAGAUGAGCAAUGAUGGAAUUUUCAAUAGAAAGAAACUUCGCCCCAUGGUUUUUCGGCAUUUAUUUUAGAAAUUAAAAGCAUCACCAGGAGAUAAAGAAGAAACAUGACCAUCCUGACUGAUCAGAGACUCUCCAGAGGGACCGGUCACUGCCACACGGCUCGGCCUCCCACCCCGGGGAAGCAGUCGCGCUCUUGCACCAGAGAGUCAGCAGCCACCCAGGUGAGUAAGAACAGCCCACGCUGUGGUAGAUCAUAGCUGGACCUUCUCCGUGGCAGGACCCCCCUGCUCCUGAGAGAAGCCCCUGCCUUUCGCAGCAGAGUCUGGGUAACGCCGGCUCUCCCUCAGCCCCUUUCAGGGUCAGGAUGGAGGUGACACUGGCUCGGGGCACCUGGUUCUCCCACA